This 630-nucleotide long non-coding RNA is filed under the name Vigna radiata. RNAcentral describes it as "long non-coding RNA (VRAD_LNC018269)". Lineage: Eukaryota; Viridiplantae; Streptophyta; Magnoliopsida; Fabales; Fabaceae. The record is from RNAcentral.
GUAGUGUUUCCUUUUAUGUGUUUCACAAAUGAAGUCAGAAAGCAGAUAUUUCAUUUGAAAAGAAAAAUCUUAGGUAUUAUUGAUAUAUUGAAAAAAAACAUUUUACAGAAAACCAAGUAUAGCAAAGUGAUUGACAUUAAUCUUCUUCCAAAUAUAUAUAUUUAACUGAUAAGAUCUCAACGUUUUUAUACACGGAGGAAUAAAUAUAACAUUCUGUAUUCAAUAUAUGUCCGAGUAAUAACACCAAAAACAUUAGGCUAUUGAGUUAUGAAGAAUCGAUGAGGAGGAUGGUGCAUGGUGUUUCCAAGCAAAUCAUGAUGAUCCGCCGUAACAUUUGCGUUUGGAAAAACAGCUUGGUCGGUUAUUAAGGUAGCUUAGGGAAGAAGAAAGUUAAGGUUUUUGGGACAGCCAGCUUGCAUGUUGAAUGAAGAAGCAGUCAAAGAUUUUAAUUGAGGGAUUGCGUGAGUUGUAUUGUAUUUUCCCUCCAUUUUCUGAGAACGUAACAACGUUAAUCAAUAUUAUAAUAAAUUGCAUCCACGGAGUCAAAAGGCCUUUAUUUGUGAGGUAUUUAUAUUAUUAUAGUAUGAAAUGUUUAUGGACUUUUCUAUCACUAAUAUUUCAAUAGGAGAG